Molecule: ribosomal RNA, 253 nt
Filed under: uncultured bacterium
Lineage: Bacteria
Description: partial 16S ribosomal RNA
Rfam family: Bacterial small subunit ribosomal RNA
Source: RNAcentral
UACGUAGGGUGCAAGCGUUAAUCGGAAUUACUGGGCGUAAAGCGUGCGCAGGCGGUUUUGUAAGACUGUCGUGAAAUCCCCGGGCUUAACCUGGGAAUUGCGAUGGUGACUGCAAGGCUAGAGUUUGGCAGAGGGGGGUAGAAUUCCACGUGUAGCAGUGAAAUGCGUAGAGAUGUGGAGGAACACCGAUGGCGAAGGCAGCCCCCUGGGUCAAAACUGACGCUCAGGCACGAAAGCGUGGGGAGCAAACAGG